AACGAACGCUGGCGGCAGGCCUAACACAUGCAAGUCGAGCGGGACCUUCGGGUCUAGCGGCGGACGGGUUAGUAACGCGUGGGAACGUGCCCAAAGGUACGGAAUAGCCUCGGGAAACUGAGAGUAAUACCGUAUGUGCCCUCGGGGGAAAGAUUUAUCGCCUUUGGAUCGGCCCGCGUUGGAUUAGGUAGUUGGUGGGGUAAUGGCCUACCAAGCCGACGAUCCAUAGCUGGUUUGAGAGGAUGAUCAGCAACACUGGGACUGAGACACGGCCCAGACUCCUACGGGAGGCAGCAGUGGGGAAUCUUAGACAAUGGGGGAAACCCUGAUCUAGCCAUGCCGCGUGAGCGAUGAAGGCCUUAGGGUUGUAAAGCUCUUUCAGAUGGGAAGAUAAUGACGGUACCAUCAGAAGAAGCCCCGGCUAACUCCGUG
This 432-nucleotide ribosomal RNA is filed under the name uncultured bacterium. Its description in RNAcentral is "bacterial SSU rRNA". It matches the Rfam family "Bacterial small subunit ribosomal RNA", at positions 29 to 507 of the family's 1533-position model. The record is from RNAcentral.